GGGUUGUGAGGUUAAGCGACUAAGCGUACACGGUGGAUGCCCUGGCAGUCAGAGGCGAUGAAGGACGUGCUAAUCUGCGAAAAGCGUCGGUAAGGUGAUAUGAACCGUUAUAGCCGGCGAUGUCCGAAUGGGGAAACCCAGUGCAAUUCGUUGCACUAUCGUUUGAUGAAUACAUAGUCAAACGAGGCGAACCGGGGGAACUGAAACAUCUAAGUACCCCGAGGAAAAGAAAUCAACCGAGAUUCCCCCAGUAGCGGCGAGCGAACGGGGAGCAGCCCGGAGUCUGAAUCAGCUUGUGUGUUAGUGGAAGCGUCUGGAAAGUCGCAGGGUACAGGGUGAUACUCCCGUACACUAAAGCACACAGGUUGUGAACUCGAAGAGUAGGGCGGGACACGUGGUAUCCUGUCUGAAUAUGGGGGGACCAUCCUCCAAGGCUAAAUACUCCUGACUGACCGAUAGUGAACCAGUACCGUGAGGGAAAGGCGAAAAGAACCCCGGCGAGGGGAGUGAAAAAGAACCUGAAACCGUGUACGUACAAGCAGUAGGAGCCUCUUUAUGGGGUGACUGCGUACCUUUUGUAUAAUGGGUCAGCGACUUAUAUUCUGUAGCAAGGUUAACCGUAUAGGGGAGCCGCAGGGAAACCGAGUCUUAACUGGGCGUUAAGUUGCAGGGUAUAGACCCGAAACCCGGUGAUCUAGCCAUGGGCAGGUUGAAGGUUGGGUAACACUAACUGGAGGACCGAACCGACUAAUGUUGAAAAAUUAGCGGAUGACUUGUGGCUGGGGGUGAAAGGCCAAUCAAACCGGGAGAUAGCUGGUUCUCCCCGAAAGCUAUUUAGGUAGCGCCUCGUGAACUCAUCUUCGGGGGUAGAGCACUGUUUCGGCUAGGGGGUCAUCCCGACUUACCAACCCGAUGCAAACUACGAAUACCGAAGAAUGUUAUCACGGGAGACACACGGCGGGUGCUAACGUCCGUCGUGAAGAGGGAAACAACCCAGACCGCCAGCUAAGGUCCCAAAGUCAUGGUUAAGUGGGAAACGAUGUGGGAAGGCCCAGACAGCCAGGAUGUUGGCUUAGAAGCAGCCAUCAUUUAAAGAAAGCGUAAUAGCUCACUGGUCGAGUCGGCCUGCGCGGAAGAUGUAACGGGGCUAAACCAUGCACCGAAGCUGCGGCAGCGACACUAUGUGUUGUUGGGUAGGGGAGCGUUCUGUAAGCCGUUGAAGGUGGCCUGUGAGGGUUGCUGGAGGUAUCAGAAGUGCGAAUGCUGACAUAAGUAACGAUAAUGCGGGUGAAAAACCCGCACGCCGGAAGACCAAGGGUUCCUGUCCAACGUUAAUCGGGGCAGGGUGAGUCGACCCCUAAGGCGAGGCCGAAAGGCGUAGUCGAUGGGAAACAGGUUAAUAUUCCUGUACUCGGUGUUACUGCGAAGGGGGGACGGAGAAGGCUAUGUUGGCCGGGCGACGGUUGUCCCGGUUUAAGCAUGUAGGCGGAUGUUCCAGGUAAAUCCGGAACGUUAUUAACGCUGAGGUGUGAUGACGAGGCACUACGGUGCUGAAGUGACAAAUGCCCUGCUUCCAGGAAAAGCCUCUAAGCAUCAGGUAACAUCAAAUCGUACCCCAAACCGACACAGGUGGUCAGGUAGAGAAUACCAAGGCGCUUGAGAGAACUCGGGUGAAGGAACUAGGCAAAAUGGUGCCGUAACUUCGGGAGAAGGCACGCUGAUAUGUAGGUGAAGUGGUUUACCCAUGGAGCUGAAAUCAGUCGAAGAUACCAGCUGGCUGCAACUGUUUAUUAAAAACACAGCACUGUGCAAACACGAAAGUGGACGUAUACGGUGUGACGCCUGCCCGGUGCCGGAAGGUUAAUUGAUGGGGUUAUCCGUAAGGAGAAGCUCUUGAUCGAAGCCCCGGUAAACGGCGGCCGUAACUAUAACGGUCCUAAGGUAGCGAAAUUCCUUGUCGGGUAAGUUCCGACCUGCACGAAUGGCGUAAUGAUGGCCAGGCUGUCUCCACCCGAGACUCAGUGAAAUUGAACUCGCUGUGAAGAUGCAGUGUACCCGCGGCAAGACGGAAAGACCCCGUGAACCUUUACUAUAGCUUGACACUGAACACUGGUCCUUGAUGUGUAGGAUAGGUGGGAGGCUUUGAAG
Molecule: ribosomal RNA, 2148 nt
Filed under: Klebsiella oxytoca
Lineage: Bacteria; Pseudomonadati; Pseudomonadota; Gammaproteobacteria; Enterobacterales; Enterobacteriaceae
Description: bacterial LSU rRNA
Rfam family: Bacterial large subunit ribosomal RNA
Source: RNAcentral